This 2260-nucleotide long non-coding RNA is filed under the name Nicotiana benthamiana. Its description in RNAcentral is "long non-coding RNA (NBEN_LNC024561)". The record is from RNAcentral. Lineage: Eukaryota; Viridiplantae; Streptophyta; Magnoliopsida; Solanales; Solanaceae.
CGCUCUUGCUUGUUGAUGGUGUGUCCUCAAUUUGUGCACUUGAUUUUCGCAUGGACGAAUGGGGAGUAGAUGUGGCGCUUACUGGUUCGCAGAAAGCACUUUCCCUUCCCACCGGACUCGGGAUAGUCUGUGCUAGCCCAAAGGCUCUUGAGGCUGCCAAAACUGCAAAAUCAGUGAGAGUUUUCUUUGACUGGAGUGAUUACCUUAAGUUCUACAAGAUGGGAACUUAUUGGCCAUAUACUCCUUCAAUCCAACUUUUGUAUGGACUCCGAGCUGCACUCGACCUUCUUUUCGAGGAAGGCCUCGAAAAUGUGAUUGCAAGACACGCUCGACUGGGCAAAGCAACAAGGUAACAGUAAAACCUCUGUUAGUACCUGUCAUGUUUUUGUUAAUUAGUGAAUCGCAGCGUAAUUUGCACUUCGCUAAGAUAAUACUUCCUCUAUCUCAUUUUAUGAGGAACUCUUUCUUAGUCUGUUGCAAGAAGAAAGGCAGCUUUCUAUAUUUGGAAUCUCAUUAACUUUAAUGACAUUCUCAUAUAGACACAGAAAUGCCAUGCAUGGCAUGUUCGAGUCCAUAAGUUCUAAGGGUCCUUUUUGCAUGUAGCACAAAUCUUUCUUUCUUAAACUCCAUGUCUAGUCAAACACUGCCAUAUAAAAUAAAACGCAGGGAGUAGUAUUUCUGAGAGCUGCACUCGACCUUCUUUUCGAGGAAGGUCUCGAAAAUGUGAUUGCAAGACACGCUCGCCUGGGCAAAGCAACUAGGUAACAGUAAAACCUCUGUUAGUACCUGUCAUGUUUUUGUUAAUUAGUGAAUCACAGCUUAAUUUGCACUUCCCUAAGAUAUUACUUCUUUUGUCUCAUUUUAUGUGGAACUCUUUCUUAGUCUGUUGCAAAAAGAAAGGCACCUUUCUAUAUUUGGAAACUCGUUAACUUCUAUAACAUUCUCAUAUAGACACAGAAAUGUCAUGCAUGGCAUGUUUGAGUCCAUAAGUUCUGAGGGUCCUUUUUGCAUGUUGCACAAAUCUUUCUUUCUUAAACUCCGUAUCUUGUCAAACACUGCCAUAUAAAAAAUGAAACGCAGCGAGUAAUAUUCUACGUCAACUUGAGCAUUAUAGCUUACCAAUUUUGGUUAUAAUGCUCAGAUUUUUCUGGAGAAAUGAUACAGAUUUUUCUGAAUGAGAAUGCAGACUUGCUGUGGAGGCAUGGGGAUUGAAGAACUGCACUCAGAAGGAGGAAUGGUUCAGUGACACCGUCACAGCUGUGGUUGUUCCUCCAUAUAUUGACAGUGCUGAAAUCGUGAAAAGGGCAUGGAAGCGAUACAACUUAAGCUUAGGUCUUGGUCUAAACAAAGUGGCAGGAAAGGUUUUCAGAAUAGGACAUCUUGGAAACUUGAAUGAGGUAACCUUUCCCUUUACUGCAGAUUACAUGUCUUAUUUGAUUACACAUUUUCUGAAGCCUAACAAGAUAAAGAUUAUAAGAUCAUCUCGAGCACGUGACUGUCAUUAUGGAAUUCAAGGUCAUUCUUGAAUGUGUGACUAUCACCAAGUUUUUUUAGAUUGUGGUUUGGUUCAGAGAAUUAUGAGAAUUUGUGUAGAGAUACGGUUAACAUACUACCAUAAUGCAUGUGCUCUGGUGUUUAAGUCUAUUGGAUCCAGAUGCUCAACAUCAUCAAGUUAAGGACUGUUACAACUCUAUACUAACUAACUAAAUGCAUAGAAUCUUCAUUCAAAGGUUUCUUUAUAUUUUUUCUUUCAUGUAAUGUGAAGGAGAGCUUUGACGUAACUGGUAUAUGACCAGGGCGCCAUGGGUUCGAGUCUUGUAAACAGUCUCUUGCAAAAAUGUAGGGUAAGGCUGCAUACUUGAGACCCUUGUAGUCCGGUCCUUCCUAGACCCUGCACAUAGCGGGUGCUUAGUGCACCGGACUGACUCUUUCAUGCAAUGUCUCCUGCAGCUCUCUAUUACCAUUUCACUGUCUUAGAGGUUCUGUUCUGGUUCAAUGUCAUGACUUUUUAAGUUCAAGCACCUCAUAAAUCAUUAAAUUUAGUAUUAAUACUUUUCCAGUUGGUUUUAUCCUAAAUUAGGCCUUUCCCCUUCUUUUCUUUUUUCUUUUUUUUUCUUUCACUUGUCAUAUAGUAUUUUUUUUCUUCUUCGUAUUCAAGUCUUGUUCUGUUAGACCAUACUUGUGGGAUUAUACAGAAUGUUUCUUUUGUUGUUGUUGUUGAAGUUCUCUUCAGUUAAUUUUCUCUUAUUAGUCAAGCCUC